This 980-nucleotide ribosomal RNA is filed under the name uncultured bacterium. Its description in RNAcentral is "bacterial SSU rRNA". It matches the Rfam family "Bacterial small subunit ribosomal RNA", at positions 499 to 1482 of the family's 1533-position model. The record is from RNAcentral.
AACUCCGUGCCAGCAGCCCGCGGUAAUACGGAGGGUGCAAGCGUUAUCCGACUACUUGGGCGUAAAGCGCACGCAGGCGUUUGUUAAGUCAGAUGUGAAAUCCCCGGGCUCAACCUGGGAACUGCAUCUGAUANNGGCAAGCUGAGUNUCNNAGAGGGGGGUAGAAUUNCAGGUGUAGCGGUGAAAUGCGUAGAGAUCUGGAGGAAUACCGGUGGNGNNGGCGGCCCCCUGGACGAAGACUGACGCUCAGGUGCGAAAGCGUGGGGAGCAAACAGGAUUAGAUACCNUGGUAGUCCACGCCGUAAACGANGUCGACUUGGAGGUUGUGCCNNGAGGCGUGGCUUCCGGAGCUAACGCGUUAAGUCGACCGCCUGGGGAGUACGGCCGCAAGGUUAAAACUCAAAUGAAUUGACGGGGGCCCGCACAAGCGGUGGAGCAUGUGGUUUAAUUCGAUGCAACGCGAAGAACCUUACCUGGUCUUGACAUCCACGGAAGUUUUCAGAGAUGAGAAUGUGCCUUCGGGAACCGUGAGACAGGUGCUGCAUGGCUGUCGUCAGCUCGUGUUGUGAAAUGUUGGGUUAAGUCCCGCAACGAGCGCAACCCUUAUCCUUUGUUGCCAGCGGUCCGGCCGGGAACUCAAAGGAGACUGCCAGUGAUAAACUGGAGGAAGGUGGGGAUGACGUCAAGUCAUCAUGGCCCUUACGACCAGGGCUACACACGUGCUACAAUGGCGCAUACAAAGAGAAGCGACCUCGCGAGAGCAAGCGGACCUCAUAAAGUGCGUCGUAGUCCGGAUUGGAGUCUGCAACUCGACUCCAUGAAGUCGGAAUCGCUAGUAAUCGUGGAUCAGAAUGCCACGGUGAAUACGUUCCCGGGCCUUGUACACACCGCCCGUCACACCAUGGGAGUGGGUUGCAAAAGAAGUAGGUAGCUUAACCUUCGGGAGGGCGCUUACCACUUUGUGAUUCAUGACUGGGGUG